RNAcentral lists this ribosomal RNA (886 nucleotides) under Shigella sonnei. Its description in RNAcentral is "partial 23S ribosomal RNA". It matches the Rfam family "Bacterial large subunit ribosomal RNA", at positions 1 to 920 of the family's 2925-position model. Lineage: Bacteria; Pseudomonadati; Pseudomonadota; Gammaproteobacteria; Enterobacterales; Enterobacteriaceae. The record is from RNAcentral.
GGGUUGUGAGGUUAAGCGACUAAGCGUACACGGUGGAUGCCCUGGCAGUCAGAGGCGAUGAAGGACGUGCUAAUCUGCGAUAAGCGUCGGUAAGGUGAUAUGAACCGUUAUAACCGGCGAUUUCCGAAUGGGGAAACCCAGUGUGAUUCGUCACACUAUCAUUAACUGAAUCCAUAGGUUAAUGAGGCGAACCGGGGGAACUGAAACAUCUAAGUACCCCGAGGAAAAGAAAUCAACCGAGAUUCCCCCAGUAGCGGCGAGCGAACGGGGAGCAGCCCAGAGCCUGAAUCAGUGUGUGUGUUAGUGGAAGCGUCUGGAAAGGCGCGCGAUACAGGGUGACAGCCCCGUACACAAAAAUGCACAUAUUGUGAGCUCGAUGAGUAGGGCGGGACACGUGGUAUCCUGUCUGAAUAUGGGGGGCCCAUCCUCCAAGGCUAAAUACUCCUGACUGACCGAUAGUGAACCAGUACCGUGAGGGAAAGGCGAAAAGAACCCCGGCGAGGGGAGUGAAAAAGAACCUGAAACCGUGUACGUACAAGCAGUGGGAGCACGCUUAGGCGUGUGACUGCGUACCUUUUGUAUAAUGGGUCAGCGACUUAUAUUCUGUAGCAAGGUUAACCGAAUAGGGGAGCCGAAGGGAAACCGAGUCUUAACUGGGCGUUAAGUUGCAGGGUAUAGACCCGAAACCCGGUGAUCUAGCCAUGGGCAGGUUGAAGGUUGGGUAACACUAACUGGAGGACCGAACCGACUAAUGUUGAAAAAUUAGCGGAUGACUUGUGGCUGGGGGUGAAAGGCCAAUCAAACCGGGAGAUAGCUGGUUCUCCCCGAAAGCUAUUUAGGUAGCGCCUCGUGAAUUCAUCUCCGGGGGUAGAGCACUGUUUCGGCA